UACGGAGGGGGCUAGCGUUGCUCGGAAUCAUUGGGCGUAAAGCGCACGUAGGCGGUUCGUUAUGUCGGAUGUGAAAGCCCUUGGCUUAACCGAGGAAGUGCAUCCGAAACUGGCGAGCUAGAGUACGAAAGAGGAUCGCGGAAUUCCCGGUGUAGAGGUGAAAUUCGUAGAUAUCGGGAGGAACACCGGUGGCGAAGGCGGCGAUCUGGGUCGGCACUGACGCUGAGGAGCGAAAGCGUGGGGAGCGAACAGG
Molecule: ribosomal RNA, 253 nt
Filed under: uncultured bacterium
Lineage: Bacteria
Description: partial 16S ribosomal RNA
Rfam family: Bacterial small subunit ribosomal RNA
Source: RNAcentral